UUUCCUGCCCUGUCCGCGAACAUUGCGGCCAUUAUAACCCUACAAGUUUUUAAUAGGGAGCUCGGCUCCCGGUGUGGGUAUGCAGGCCUCCCGGCAUUCGCCGGAAGUUGGAAGCACAAAGCAUCGGGGAGGGCACCCACCUGUCUGUAGACAGGUUAUGAAUCGGCCGUUCUACGGCAGGGCGGGGAA
Molecule: non-coding RNA, 189 nt
Filed under: human gut metagenome
Description: 6S / SsrS RNA
Rfam family: 6S / SsrS RNA
About the family: E. coli 6S RNA was the first non coding RNA to be sequenced, but its function was unknown until recently. It consists of 184 nucleotides that fold into an extended hairpin structure with a large single-stranded internal bulge.
Source: RNAcentral